AAAAAUAAUUUGCAAAAUAUUGAACGCCGAGUGUUUAAUUAUCGACUGUCACGGGCACGUCGAGUGUCAGAAAAUGCUUUUGGGAUUCUUGUUACAAGAUGGCGAAUUUUACAAACACCUAUCGCUUUAAAAAGAAGGAAGCAUUUCAUGGUAAUGGCAACAUAUAUAAUUUGAACAAAGGCUUUUUGUUUACUCAACAACAUUGAGCACCAAAUUCUUUAUAAAUAUAUAACAAAAAAAAAUAUCGUAGAACAUGUUUUAAAGCUUCUCCAACAGCAACCAUAUACCUAUCUUUAUCGUCUUUUUGGUCUGAUACCAAUGAUGUUANUGAAUUCAUAGCAGUAGAUAUUACCGAACUUACUUCUGCUAAUUCUCGAUCAAUUUGAUCAUCCUUCUUUUUCUUUCGUUUUGCAAAGUUAUCUGGUUCCGGUGUAACUUUUCUCACCGGUUUAAAUAUCAAUGAAGGACUUUUUACGUUUCUAGAAUUGGUGUUUAGUACUGAUAGUUGCGUAUUGCUGCUACUGCUGCUGUAAUUGGACAUUGUACUAGUAGAUCUAGUUGUCAUGUCUUCUUCAAUAGGAUUUGUUUCUAAUUCAUCUUUUUCUGUUUGCAAAGAUGACCCUUCACCUAUACAUUUUUUAUUAUAUUAAAAUGCAUAAAUAUUAAAACAAUAUUUUGUCUUUUAAAU
Long non-coding RNA from Pseudomyrmex gracilis, 688 nucleotides. RefSeq lists it as uncharacterized. The transcript has 3 exons. NCBI's taxonomy places the organism in Eukaryota, Metazoa, Arthropoda, Insecta, Hymenoptera, Formicidae. The record is from RefSeq and is a predicted model, not a curated record.